Molecule: long non-coding RNA, 466 nt
Organism: Helicoverpa zea (corn earworm)
Lineage: Eukaryota; Metazoa; Arthropoda; Insecta; Lepidoptera; Noctuidae
Exons: 3
Source: RefSeq, a predicted model, not a curated record
UAAGUGUCAAUGAAAUGUUAAUCAAUUUGUUUUCUGUUCCAGGUAAUUAUAAACAUCGAUUAAUGAAGACAAAGAUUGCAUUCUAUCAUUCGAUUUUUAAUCGAGGUCGUGGUAACUAACUCGAGCACUUGUAACCAGCGUGAAUGAAACCAUUACAUCAAUAUCAAUACCAUAAGUCUAUUAAGUAAAAAUGGCUUCUAACAUUGAGAGAAAACAUGACUUCAAUAAUACAUAUACCUACCAUCCCUAACUCUGACAACUAUCUACUGAAAACUGCAUUAAAAUCGGUGCCGAUAAUAGAGAAACUCCUUAUUUUAAGUCGGUUAAACACGCUUUAAGGUAAAGUAACAAGAAUUUUGAUACCGUUAAGUGAGUAAUUAUUGCUAACUUUACAGAUUUUUUUGUAUAAUUUAAUAGAACUUCUAUAAAUAAUAGAAGGAUAGAUUAUUCUUUAUCGUAAAACCAA